This 503-nucleotide ribosomal RNA is filed under the name uncultured bacterium. Its description in RNAcentral is "partial 16S ribosomal RNA". It matches the Rfam family "Bacterial small subunit ribosomal RNA", at positions 30 to 523 of the family's 1533-position model. The record is from RNAcentral.
AUUGAACGCUGGCGGCAGGCUUAACACAUGCAAGUCGAGCGGGGUGAUGGUGCUUGCACUAUCACUUAGCGGCGGACGGGUGAGUAAUGCUUAGGAAUCUGCCUAUUAGUGGGGGACAACAUCUCGAAAGGGAUGCUAAUACCGCAUACGUCCUACGGGAGAAAGCAGGGGAUCACUUGUGACCUUGCGCUAAUAGAUGAGCCUAAGUCGGAUUAGCUAGUUGGUGGGGUAAAGGCCUACCAAGGCGACGAUCUGUAGCGGGUCUGAGAGGAUGAACCGCCACACUGGGACGGAGACACGGCCCAGACUCCUACGGGGGGCAGCAGUGGGGAAUAUUGGACAAUGGGGGGAACCCUGAUCCAGCCAUGCCGCGUGUGUGAAGAAGGCCUUAUGGUUGUAAAGCACUUUAAGCGAGGAGGAGGCUCUUUUGGUUAAUACCCAAGAUGAGUGGACGUUACUCGCAGAAUAAGCACCGGCUAACUCUGUGCCAGCCGCCGCAGUAA